GCAAGGUAGAAAUCAUAAUGCAGUUAUGCUUCUUUCCUUUCUACAUAAAACAGUAAUGGAUGUCGUCUCUAGAAGGCUAUGUAUAAACAUGAGUACUAAUCCUUGAUUUUGCCUUUCAGCUGAUGGUGCGCCGUUGUAGUAUGACUCGAGGAUGGCCGUUGAGAUAGAGUAGAGGAAGAGGAGUAGUUUAUCGUGAGCAGUCUCGACAGACUCGACAGAGACGAAGCGGUACAGGCAGAUGGGAGAUUGGAUGAAUGAUCAUGAAGACUUGCCUACUGAAAUAAUUGUUGCCUCGAGUAUACCAAUUGAAAAUUCUUGUGCGUGUUGCUCGCACCUAGGAAGACAGGGAUCAAGCCACUCAACAACAAUUAUACGAGCUACAUUCUAUUGUCGUUGACCAAGAGAAAAAAAUUCUAUCCCAGGCGCUUUCUCCUCUGAUGACGCACAUUGAUCUAUAGCCGCUAUGAUAGCACAUUGACAGGCUGGGAGCACAAGUUUUUCAAAAGGUGCGACCUAAACAUUUUGGUUAGUCCGAUGUUUUAAAUAAUACAGUAUGUGUGCCCAUGUUGUACAUGCAUUUUUUGGAUUCAAGCGCAUUUUGGUCUUCAACAGAUCCUGAUUGCUGAGUUUAUGGGGAAAAUACUUUUCUUUUGGACUUAGAUGGUUACAGCAUCAUGUGCAGGUUAAGGAACUUUAAAGUUCAAUAAAUUCUAAAUGUAGGUGAUUUCCUUAUUUUACUUUAAAAAGUUUGAUUGAUAUCACCCAGUCAUACUGUUAUUUUUGAAACAUACCCGCAGUUAACUGCAACAUUUGAAAAUAAAGAGGGUAUUAAGCAUGUGGCAGCAUAUAUUUGCUAGAAGGUAAUCCAUCUACCUACCAUCAUCUGAUGAACACAUCGUAUAUGUUUUUCAUGCACAACUCCCUGUAUUAUCUGGUUUGGCUUGGUGGUUGUUUCUCUCAGUUUCCAAUUCACACAUUAGGGCAGAAAAUAAUAAUUAUCCCAUUUUGAGUUAAGGAUUUGUCUAAACAUGAGAAUUUACUAGGAGGUUGAACUUAGAUGAUUGCCUAUGUGUGGGUCAUGUCUAACUACCGAUAUCCCUAGCUUCACUAAAACAACUAAGUAAACUAAUAUUAUUGGUGUAAUGAGUCCAGGGCACACAUUGAAAAUUCUUCCUCGAAAAACCAUAAUGAUCUUGAGAUAUUCUAAACUGUGCACAAGCAUUUAGAUCGUAACGGAUUUCCAUAUUUGGGUGUAAAUGGUCAAUGCAUUUGCGUCUCUGCAUAUACUCCUAAGAUAUUUAUUUUAUGGUGAACCACUGAACCAUAUAUUCUUGGUAUGUUAAACAGUUUAGAAUUCUUAUCGACAUGCAAAUGCAGAUUAAGACUGCUUGGCCCCUCUGAUGUUGUAGGAGUCGGAUGCUCUUAUGUUAUCUAAUUUUGCUUUUGAGCAACAGGUACAAACAGCAAGAUAUAAACUUAGUCAUGCAUAUACGAGGUAUUUGCCAAUCUUUUCAAAUAGUUUCUUGAACUAUAAACAUGUUUUUGUUGGUUUCGACAAGAAAUUAUUCUACCUUUCAAAAAGGAAGCACAUAUUUGAUGUGGGGAUCCCGAGAAUUGCACAGUUGCCACUUAGUUAAGAUGUCUCUAGAGGGUUUCGGAGCUUCAGAAAUACAUAGCUGCCUCUGAAGUGCAAAUAUUGCCAGUGUUCUUUUGUUGACACUAUAUGUUCCCUCAAGCAUACGUCUCUUUAUAUGGAUAUAUAUCAUUUCAUACUUAUGCAUUUUACUAAUGUUUUCUUUGGUUGUUCUUUCUCUUAGGGCCCACAAUCUACGAGAAGGUUUGUUGCACCUUUUUCACUUGAGGCAUAAUGUAUGAAGUUAAGAUGCAAUAACCAUGUAUCAGAUGUUCUGUUUUCUGUUCUUUGUCUGUCAGUGUGUUGGAGAUCAUCUUCUUUUGUUUCUGUUCUCUGUUCUCUGCACCAUGUAUUGCUAUAUGAAGUUGCAAUUACCCAAUGCAUCAGAGUCUAUCCUCUCUCCUAUUUUUAUCCUGUUUUUAAUCGUUUCAGGAAACCUAUUAGUAAUGACCUGUCUGAAAUUUCUGUACCUCUUUAUUUUUCAUUCAUCCAUCAGACUGCCAUAAAGAAACUUCAGGGGAACGACCAAGUUGAAAGCAUAUUUCAGAAUGUUACAGUUAUUCUCUUUCUGUAACUUCUUAGCUAACAUCUGCACAAAACGGCCAAUUGCUUACAGCAGUGGACGGAAAUAAAAUUGACCUCCCCUCUCCGUCCACUGCUCAUUCAACGAUCUUCCAAAUCUGGCCUUGCUGAAGCAAAAGGAAUAUC
This is a long non-coding RNA of Lolium perenne, 2341 nucleotides long. RefSeq lists it as uncharacterized. Lineage: Eukaryota; Viridiplantae; Streptophyta; Magnoliopsida; Poales; Poaceae. The record is from RefSeq and is a predicted model, not a curated record.